Molecule: ribosomal RNA, 253 nt
Filed under: uncultured bacterium
Lineage: Bacteria
Description: partial 16S ribosomal RNA
Rfam family: Bacterial small subunit ribosomal RNA
Source: RNAcentral
UACGGGGGGGGCAAGCGUUGUUCGGAAUUACUGGGCGUAAAGGGCUCGUAGGCGGUUUGUCGCGUCUGCUGUGAAAACUCGGGGCUUAACCCCGGGCCUGCAGUGGGUACGGGCAGACUAGAGUGCGGUAGGGGAGACUGGAAUUCCUGGUGUAGCGGUGAAAUGCGCAGAUAUCAGGAGGAACACCGGUGGCGAAGGCGGAUCUCUGGGCCGUAACUGACGCUAAGGCGCGAAAGCGUGGGGAGCGAACAGG